AGAAAAGACGAAUUAAGCUUCUAACUUAAUAUUUGACAGAGUCACUUUUCUU
This 52-nucleotide transfer RNA is filed under the name Trichuris arvicolae. RNAcentral describes it as "tRNA-Ser". Lineage: Eukaryota; Metazoa; Nematoda; Enoplea; Trichinellida; Trichuridae. The record is from RNAcentral.